GAUGAACGCUGGCGGCGUGCCUAAUACAUGCAAGUCGAGCGAACAGACGAGGAGCUUGCUCCUCUGACGUUAGCGGCGGACGGGUGAGUAACACGUGGAUAACCUACCUAUAAGACUGGGAUAACUUCGGGAAACCGGAGCUAAUACCGGAUAAUAUAUUGAACCGCAUGGUUCAAUAGUGAAAGACGGUUUUGCUGUCACUUAUAGAUGGAUCCGCGCCGGAUUAGCUAGUUGGUAAGGUAACGGCUUACCAAGGCAACGAUGCGUAGCCGACCUGAGAGGAUGAUCAGCCACACUGGAACUGAGACACGGUCCAGACUCCUACGGGAGGCAGCAGUAGGGAAUCUUCCGCAAUGGGCGAAAGCUUGACGGAGCAACGCCGCGUGAGUGAUGAAGGUCUUCGGAUCGUAAAACUCUGUUAUUAGGGAAGAACAGAUGUGUAAGUAACUAUGCACGUCUUGACGGUACCUAAUCAGAAAGCCACGGCUAACUACGUG
RNAcentral lists this ribosomal RNA (497 nucleotides) under uncultured bacterium. RNAcentral's name for it is "partial 16S ribosomal RNA". It matches the Rfam family "Bacterial small subunit ribosomal RNA", at positions 28 to 507 of the family's 1533-position model. The record is from RNAcentral.